AUUUAAAAUCUAUGUUCUGCAUUUAACUGGACCAAAAUUUGUGGUUAUCAGUUGAUACCAAUAUGGCAACUGAGGUCGUCUGUGGUGACGCUCGUUGCCAAAGCUUAUCUAGACUUCAACGGGUGGAUUAGCUCAGAGAGGGACGAGAUAAUUUUUGUGAACAGUGCACCAGCCUCACUAACUAACUGCACAAGCUAUAGUGAUAUUUAACGCUGUUUAUUCUAAAAGAAAAAAAAAGAAAAAAAAAACGAAAUAAAGAACACAAGAAAGAAAAAGAAAAAAGCUACAGAGUUACAACCACUUCAUUAAAUGCACUAACUUAAUAAAACUGGCCCGAUGCCUUCAGUUUUCUCAGUGCCACCACACUGUACAUGCUGGUAAUGCUAUAGGGAACAGCCUGAACAACGCUGAUUGAAGGUAAAUUUCAAAGUGAGUAUUGUUUCAUUUACGGACGAAUUACACAAAGGCGACAUAUUUGGAAACACUCAACAUUGUGAUGACUAGUGAACUUGUGUAUGGACGUUAGACUACACUAUAUUUGGUAAUUUACUACCGUACAAAGUUAGUGCUGUCACCUUAAGGUGAGUAAGUAGUCCAUCUUCAAAUUGUUUGCAUAUAAUAUAUGAUAUAAUAAUAUUUGACCAAUCCUUGCCUUGCAGCUAGAGUGAGUUUAUUUUGGACUGUGGAGGAAAAACCUUAGAUUAUUUUUAGUUUCUUAUAUUUUUUCAUUCUUUUCAUCCAUUUUUAUACUUAAGUCUUAUAGUUUUAUGCACAAUAUAUUUAAAGUGGAUGUUUCAGAGAGGGAUAAUAGAGAUUCUUGUCUUAGUCUUGCAUGCUGAAUUUAUCCAUUGACGUUUUUAUGUUAUAUAAACAAUAUGCAGAAAGAGGACAGAUGUGCAUUUAUCUACAGAUAAACGAAGAAUUCCUUAAAUCUACAUGCAUGGCCAAGGAUACACUGGAGUUAGAAUCACAUUCUUCUCAUAACAGAACACCUAACAUUUCCUCUAAAUAUUUUCAAGAAACUAUUCGGAACAACAUUUAAUAAUUUAUGGACUUAAAAAUCAGUGUUUAUGUUAUCAAAUAUUAAGCCUUUAACCUUCACCUUUACUGUUGAGUCGACGAACGAUUAAUGCUUACACCAUGGCCCCCCACGACCAGACUCGGCUCAGCUAACUGGGUGGGGACUGAAGGGACAUGGGUGUGAUACAAAAAUCCCCACAUCAGGAGACACACGGUCACAUCAGAAACAGAAAACACCAAUGAGUAAUCGACGGGUACCGAGCGAAACUGCCGAGGUCUAAUGGAUACCUCAUAUUUACCAGGGGCAGUGCACCAAUUCGGCUCAUAUACUGACUUAGUAGUUUUAACCUUGCUCCUGUCUCAGUGGAGCCUCUCAUCCCAGAGAAUGACAUGACAGCAAGCAAGUAUAUAGUUCCUCGUUGUGGUCAGAUUUCUCCGCUAAGUUACGUUAGUGCUCCUGGCAGCAACCCAGCAGACACCAGUGAUUUGAAUACUGGCACCGGUCCCGAAAUGAUGAGUCACAAGGGAACUAUCCGAGGUCCUGUUACGCCCCUGCCCGUGUCUGCGGCAACAGUGACCGCUAGAUGGCAGCAUCAAUCAGGGGCGCAAGGUGCAGAUAACACGCAUGUGUACUAUGUUUUGAGUGAUCUGCUGUGAUUCUUAUAGAAAAUGAAAUGUCUGCCUCGGUACAAAUUACCAGUGUUUGUCAAUGAGUUGUUUUUAGCUGUGUAACUGUGACCCAUAUCCCCCUGAAGACUAUUAAAGUUUAAUUUCCAACAUGU
Mugil cephalus (flathead mullet) is the source of this 1802-nucleotide long non-coding RNA. RefSeq lists it as uncharacterized. The record is from RefSeq and is a predicted model, not a curated record. NCBI's taxonomy places the organism in Eukaryota, Metazoa, Chordata, Actinopteri, Mugiliformes, Mugilidae. The transcript has 3 exons.